This 244-nucleotide unclassified non-coding RNA is filed under the name Hevea brasiliensis (rubber tree). Lineage: Eukaryota; Viridiplantae; Streptophyta; Magnoliopsida; Malpighiales; Euphorbiaceae. The record is from RNAcentral.
CAUUAAAGAAAAAUUAAUUUACAUUUAUCAGUCCAAAAUUUACAUCAGAAAAUUCAAAAUAAUAUUAUUACAAAAUCUAUACAACUGUUCAAGACUAGUUUAUACAUGUACAUACAUUUACAUACACCAAAAUAAACAUUACAAUCAAGGUAUAAAAUUAUACCCGACAAAAUCUCAAGGAUGUAGCGCCGAGAUCCUUAGCAGCUCACUCUGUUACUCCACUAGUCUCUCUAUCUUAUGCGAG